Molecule: long non-coding RNA, 409 nt
Organism: Syngnathoides biaculeatus (alligator pipefish)
Lineage: Eukaryota; Metazoa; Chordata; Actinopteri; Syngnathiformes; Syngnathidae
Exons: 3
Source: RefSeq, a predicted model, not a curated record
UUUACAAGAUCCACGCUGAGCCCACUUUUAACUGCCUGUGAAGAACUUCUUCCAGCGUCUUUGAUGUGCCAACCUAAUGGGAAGAGUGCGCCGGCAGUCAUUGCAUAAGUUAGCGCGCCAAUGAGAGCUAAUCCACUAGCAUUGCAAGGGACGACGACGGAGAUCAAACGGAGCCCGGGCGUGGAAUUCUCUGCUCGCUUGCUCUGCGGAGGCUGAGAAGGAUCUCAGCAGCUAGCUAUUGUAUCUAACUCCAUGUGAUUGAAACACAUGCUCGACUACGCUGCAGCACCGGGGUCACAAGUGCACUGGAGCCUCUCCCACCUGACUUCGGGCGAGAGGUGGGGUACAACCCUCGACUGGUUACCAGCCAGUCAGAAGAAAUUUACAGACAAAGAACCAUUUAAAAUUA